ACUUGGAAACAGGUGCUAAUACCGCAUAACAGUUUAUGCCGCAUGGCAUAAGAGUGAAAGGCGCUUUCGGGUGUCGCUGAUGGAUGGACCCGCGGUGCAUUAGCUAGUUGGUGAGGUAACGGCUCACCAAGGCCACGAUGCAUAGCCGACCUGAGAGGGUGAUCGGCCACACUGGGACUGAGACACGGCCCAGACUCCUACGGGAGGCAGCAGUAGGGAAUCUUCGGCAAUGGACGAAAGUCUGACCGAGCAACGCCGCGUGAGUGAAGAAGGUUUUCGGAUCGUAAAACUCUGUUGUUAGAGAAGAACAAGGACGUUAGUAACUGAACGUCCCCUGACGGUAUCUAACCAGAAAGCCACGGCUAACUACGUGCCAGCAGCCGCGGUAAUACGUAGGUGGCAAGCGUUGUCCGGAUUUAUUGGGCGUAAAGCGAGCGCAGGCGGUUUCUUAAGUCUGAUGUGAAAGCCCCCGGCUCAACCGGGGAGGGUCAUUGGAAACUGGGAGACUUGAGUGCAGAAGAGGAGAGUGGAAUUCCAUGUGUAGCGGUGAAAUGCGUAGAUAUAUGGAGGAACACCAGUGGCGAAGGCGGCUCUCUGGUCUGUAACUGACGCUGAGGCUCGAAAGCGUGGGGAGCAAACAGGAUUAGAUACCCUGGUAGUCCACGCCGUAAACGAUGAGUGCUAAGUGUUGGAGGGUUUCCGCCCUUCAGUGCUGCAGCAAACGCAUUAAGCACUCCGCCUGGGGAGUACGACCGCAAGGUUGAAACUCAAAGGAAUUGACGGGGGCCCGCACAAGCGGUGGAGCAUGUGGUUUAAUUCGCAGCAACGCGAAGAACCUUACCAGGUCUUGACAUCCUUUGACCACUCUAGAGAUAGAGCUUUCCCUUCGGGGACAAAGUGACAGGUGGUGCAUGGUUGUCGUCAGCUCGUGUCGUGAGAUGUUGGGUUAAGUCCCGCAACGAGCGCAACCCUUAUUGUUAGUUGCCAUCAUUUAGUUGGGCACUCUAGCGAGACUGCCGGUGACAAACCGGAGGAAGGUGGGGAUGACGUCAAAUCAUCAUGCCCCUUAUGACCUGGGCUACACACGUGCUACAAUGGGAAGUACAACGAGU
Molecule: ribosomal RNA, 1112 nt
Filed under: Enterococcus faecalis
Lineage: Bacteria; Bacillati; Bacillota; Bacilli; Lactobacillales; Enterococcaceae
Description: bacterial SSU rRNA
Rfam family: Bacterial small subunit ribosomal RNA
Source: RNAcentral